Sebastes umbrosus (honeycomb rockfish) is the source of this 449-nucleotide long non-coding RNA. RefSeq lists it as uncharacterized. The record is from RefSeq and is a predicted model, not a curated record. The transcript has 3 exons. NCBI's taxonomy places the organism in Eukaryota, Metazoa, Chordata, Actinopteri, Perciformes, Sebastidae.
GCAGAUUAUGAAAUAGUCACGAAAUGUAUUGAUUAGUGUACAUGGACACAAAUUUAAUUUUUUUUUUUGUGAUGGUCAGCAUAAAAUCAAUUUGUAUGUAAUCCACAUAAUUGUGAACCGGGAAAUAUAGAGAGCGGCGAACACCACGUUGGGAGGAGGGCGGAGUGGAAUGGUGGGUCAAAAAACACAGGACAUUUGCUCAGGAAACUGGUGUUCUUGUCCCGCGUGAAACCAGAAGUCAGAGUUGAUUUUUUUGUCACGUAACUUCCGUACUUAAGUUACAUCGUUUCUGGAAUUAUUUUAACCCAAACCGCAAUAUUUUCCUAAACCUAACUAAGUAGUUUUAUGAAAUGACUAGAGCGGAAAUUGAAAUGUGCGUCACGUGUUACUGGACAUUCAUAAGAAAAGGCACAACAAAUGCGUUGUUGAAAGUCGUGCUGAGCGUCACG